UACAGAGGGUGCAAGCGUUAAUCGGAGUUACUGGGCGUAAAGGGCGCGUAGGCGGUCUAUUAAGUUUGAUGUGAAAUCCCUGGGCUUAACCUAGGAACUGCAUUGAAUACUGGUGGACUAGAGUACUGUAGAGGGUAGUGGAAUUUCCGGUGUAGCGGUGAAAUGCGUAGAGAUCGGAAGGAACACCAGUGGCGAAGGCGGCUACCUGGACAGAUACUGACGCUGAGGCGCGAGAGCGUGGGGAGCAAAC
This 250-nucleotide ribosomal RNA is filed under the name uncultured bacterium. Its description in RNAcentral is "partial 16S ribosomal RNA". It matches the Rfam family "Bacterial small subunit ribosomal RNA", at positions 524 to 773 of the family's 1533-position model. The record is from RNAcentral.